CUAAGCACGAAACUUGCCCCGAGAUGACUUCUCCCUGACCCUUUAAGGGUCCUGAAGGAACGUUGAAGACGACGACGUUGAUAGGCCGGGUGUGUAAGCGCAGCGAUGCGUUGAGCUAACCGGUACUAAUGAACCGUGAGGCUUAACCUUACAACGCCGAAGGUGUUU
This 168-nucleotide ribosomal RNA is filed under the name Escherichia coli O157:H7 str. K6687. Its description in RNAcentral is "partial 23S ribosomal RNA". The stretch from base 1 to 150 matches the Rfam family "Bacterial large subunit ribosomal RNA", at positions 2781 to 2925 of the family's 2925-position model. Lineage: Bacteria; Pseudomonadati; Pseudomonadota; Gammaproteobacteria; Enterobacterales; Enterobacteriaceae. The record is from RNAcentral.